UGUCGUCAGCUCGUGUUGUGAAAUGUUGGGUUAAGUCCCGCAACGAGCGCAACCCUUAUCCUUUGUUGCCAGCGGUCCGGCCGGGAACUCAAAGGAGACUGCCAGUGAUAAACUGGAGGAAGGUGGGGAUGACGUCAAGUCAUCAUGGCCCUUACGACCAGGGCUACACACGUGCUACAAUGGCGCAUACAAAGAGAAGCGACCUCGCGAGAGCAAGCGGACCUCAUAAAGUGCGUCGUAGUCCGGAUUGGAGUCUGCAACUCGACUCCAUGAAGUCGGAAUCGCUAGUAAUCGUGGAUCAGAAUGCCACGGUGAAUACGUUCCCGGGCCUUGUACACACCGCCCGUCACACCAUGGGAGUGGGUU
Molecule: ribosomal RNA, 366 nt
Filed under: Escherichia coli
Lineage: Bacteria; Pseudomonadati; Pseudomonadota; Gammaproteobacteria; Enterobacterales; Enterobacteriaceae
Description: bacterial SSU rRNA
Rfam family: Bacterial small subunit ribosomal RNA
Source: RNAcentral